UCAAACAUAGGCUUGCUAUUUGCGACUGUCAUUAGAUUAUACUUUAUUUUUUAGAAGAAAAAUUUUAAUUGAGAUGUAAUUCACAUAUCAUAAAUAUCACCCUUUUAAUGUGGACAUGUUAUAUGCACAGUAGAAUAUUCACAGGGCUGUGUAACUACUCGAAUUCCAGAACAUUUUCCUUUUUCUUUGUUUCUCAUUCUCAUUCUGUCUCAUUCUGUCCCCCAAGGCUAGAGUGCAGUGAGCAGGUAUUGGUUUAACAAAGAAAGGGUCAAAGUUUUCUAGGCAGAGAGACUAGCAUGUGUCAAGACUGUAGAGUAAGAA
This 321-nucleotide long non-coding RNA is filed under the name Pan troglodytes (chimpanzee). Its description in RNAcentral is "long non-coding RNA NONPTRT010475". Lineage: Eukaryota; Metazoa; Chordata; Mammalia; Primates; Hominidae. The record is from RNAcentral.